AAUGGCAAACACCGAGAAAAAUCCUUCUCCAUCUCUGAAAGCUGGUCCAAAGUUCUCUGCGAAUAUUGAUGCUGAAAAUACAGAUGAAAAUGGAACAUGCCACCAGGAUUUGAUUCCAAAAUUACUUAAUGAACGACAGAGAUGCCGAGAAGACAUACAACAGUUAUGGUGCCUAUUAUUCUGAUGUCAUUGGACUCAUCUACCAUGAUUGUAUCACUCU
Molecule: long non-coding RNA, 220 nt
Organism: Nothoprocta perdicaria
Lineage: Eukaryota; Metazoa; Chordata; Aves; Tinamiformes; Tinamidae
Exons: 2
Source: RefSeq, a predicted model, not a curated record